RNAcentral lists this ribosomal RNA (492 nucleotides) under uncultured bacterium. Its description in RNAcentral is "partial 16S ribosomal RNA". It matches the Rfam family "Bacterial small subunit ribosomal RNA", at positions 29 to 507 of the family's 1533-position model. The record is from RNAcentral.
AGUGAACGCUGGCGGUAGGUCUAACACAUGCAAGUCGAACGGCAGCACAGUAAGAGCUUGCUCUUACGGGUGGCGAGUGGCGGACGGGUGAGGAAUACAUCGGAAUCUACUUUUUCGUGGGGGAUAACGUAGGGAAACUUACGCUAAUACCGCAUACGACCUACGGGUGAAAGCAGGGGAUCUUCGGACCUUGCGCGAUUGAAUGAGCCGAUGUCGGAUUAGCUAGUUGGCGGGGUAAAGGCCCACCAAGGCGACGAUCCGUAGCUGGUCUGAGGGGAUGAUCAGCCACACUGGAACUGAGACACGGUCCAGACUCCUACGGGAGGCAGCAGUGGGGAAUAUUGGACAAUGGGCGCAAGCCUGAUCCAGCCAUACCGCGUGGGUGAAGAAGGCCUUCGGGUUGUAAAGCCCUUUUGUUGGGAAAGAAAAGCAGCAGGUUAAUACCCCGCUGUUCUGACGGUACCCAAAGAAUAAGCACCGGCUAACUUCGUG